UACGGAGGGAGCGAACGUUGUUCGGAUUUACUGGGCGUAAAGGGUGUGUAGGCGGUCUUGCAAGUCAGGGGUGAAAUCUCUCGGCUCAACCGAGAAACUGCCUUUGAGACUGCAGGACUUGAGGGCGUGAGAGGAGACUGGAAUUUACGGUGUAGCGGUGAAAUGCGUAGAUAUCGUAAGGAAGACCAGUGGCGAAGGCGGGUCUCUGGACAGUUCCUGACGCUGAGGCACGAAGGUCAGGGGAGCAAACGGG
This 253-nucleotide ribosomal RNA is filed under the name uncultured bacterium. RNAcentral describes it as "partial 16S ribosomal RNA". It matches the Rfam family "Bacterial small subunit ribosomal RNA", at positions 524 to 776 of the family's 1533-position model. The record is from RNAcentral.